This 419-nucleotide ribosomal RNA is filed under the name bacterium. Its description in RNAcentral is "partial 16S ribosomal RNA". It matches the Rfam family "Bacterial small subunit ribosomal RNA", at positions 355 to 776 of the family's 1533-position model. The record is from RNAcentral.
UGGGGGAUAUUGCACAAUGGGCGAAAGCCUGAUGCAGCGACGCCGCGUGGGGGAUGAAGGCCUUCGGGUUGUAAACUUCUUUUGCUCUGAACAAGGCAUGCUAAUGGGUGUGUUGAGUGUAGGGGUUGAUUAGCGCCGGCUAACUACGUGCCAGCAGCCGCGGUAAUACGUAGGGCGCGAGCGUUGUCCGGAAUUAUUGGGCGUAAAGGGCUUGUAGGUGGCUGGUUGCGUCUGUCGUGAAAGCUCAUGGCUUAUCUGUGGGUUUGCGGUGGGUACGGGCUGGCUUGAGUACAGUAGGCGAGGCUUGAAUUCCUGGUGUAGCGGUGGAAUGCGCAGAUAUCAGGAGGAAUACCGGUGGCGAAGGCGGGUCUCUGGGCUGUUACUGACACUGAGGAGCGAAAGAAUGAGGAGCGAACAGG